AGUCGAGGGGUAGAAGCAGCUUGCUGCUUUGAGACCGGCGCACGGGUGCGUAACGCGUAUACAAUCUACCUUUUACAGAGGGAUAGCCCAGAGAAAUUUGGAUUAAUACCUCAUAGUAUUUUCGAAUCGCAUGAUUUGAUUAUUAAAGUUCCAACGGUAAAAGAUGAGUAUGCGUCCCAUUAGCUAGAUGGUAAGGUAACGGCUUACCAUGGCAACGAUGGGUAGGGGUCCUGAGAGGGAGAUCCCCCACACUGGUACUGAGACACGGACCAGACUCCUACGGGAGGCAGCAGUGAGGAAUAUCGGACAAUGGGCGCAAGCCUGAUCCAGCCAUGCCGCGUGCAGGAAGACGGUCCUAUGGAUUGUAAACUGCUUUUAUACAGGAAGAAACACCUCUACGUGUAGAGACUUGACGGUACUGUAUGAAUAAGCAUCGGCUAACUCCGUGCCAGCAGCCGCGGUAAUACGGAGGAUGCAAGCGUUAUCCGGAAUCAUUGGGUUUAAAGGGUCCGUAGGCGGUUUAAUAAGUCAGUGGUGAAAGCCCAUCGCUCAACGAUGGAACGGCCAUUGAUACUGUUAAACUUGAAUUAUUAGGAAGUAACUAGAAUAUGUAGUGUAGCGGUGAAAUGCUUAGAGAUUACAUGGAAUACCAAUUGCGAAGGCAGGUUACUACUAAUAUAUUGACGCUGAUGGACGAAAGCGUGGGGAGCGAACAGGAUUAGAUACCCUGGUAGUCCACGCCGUAAACGAUGGAUACUAGCUGUUCGGAGCAAUCUGAGUGGCUAAGCGAAAGUGAUAAGUAUCCCACCUGGGGAGUACGUUCGCAAGAAUGAAACUCAAAGGA
RNAcentral lists this ribosomal RNA (844 nucleotides) under uncultured bacterium. Its description in RNAcentral is "bacterial SSU rRNA". It matches the Rfam family "Bacterial small subunit ribosomal RNA", at positions 60 to 908 of the family's 1533-position model. The record is from RNAcentral.